CCCUGCCUCUGUCACCUAAGUAAGUGCUGGAUCACAAACAUGUCUCAUUACUCCCUGCUUCAGAGACAGUUUUGAUAUUCUCACUGAAAGAAGACAUUAGGAGUGCUACUCAUGUGAGCAGUUUUAGGGUCAAAGACACAGCUCCAGGAUUCCUUUUUCCUCCCUGUUCCUUACUCUAUGGACUAUGGCUUUGACCCAGCAUGGAGACCUGGAGUAUUCCCACAUCUCCUCUCUCCUUUCCAAAGGCCUAUGGGAGGGAACUCACAGAUCCACUUUCCUCAGGCUUAGCAUUGAGUUCACCAGACUUUGAGCCUGUUCCCACUAUGUGCCUUUCUAGAAGUUUUUACUAUCUCUUCCUUGUCCUAAAAGACAACACUUUGCACAUGGGCCUGUCCAUAUGGACAGUAGCAGAGUGUGGUCUCAAGAUAGUUCUUCUGGGAAAGUGGUAGUGUUUGUUCUUCAUGGACCUUAAGAACUCUUGACAGGAUGAGGGUGAGAAAUACCUUCUCCAUGGUAACUGGACUUUCUGAUGUUAUUCCUAGUUUCCAGGACUCAAGUCAGAUUAAAAUAGAGCCUGAAACCCAGUAACCCUUCACUUCUGUGAUGCUGUGACUGCCUCUACUGACGGCAGGUGAGUGGGCAAGGGGACAAGGCCUGGUGGAGGGCAGAUGAGCUGUCUCUUAUUUCCCCCAGAGGGCUCCUGGGUCAGGAUUCAAGACUGUGGUUGGCAGUGCCAACCUGAGUGACCGUACAAAAGGGUCUGUGACUCUUCAUGUCAUAUAGUUUCCUCUGUCCCUCCGUCCACUAUUCCAAUGACUUGUGUGUGGCCAAUGAAUACAGGGCAGGGACAAACUAUAGCACUCCUGGAGUUACACCAACAAAGAUCAAUCAGUGGAAGGCCAAUUCUACCUCUUCAAGAAAUUGAGGAAAACACAACAACAAUAACAACAACUAACCCCUGCUUAUCAAAGCAUGGAAAAAGUACAUAGGGAAAAGGCCCUCAUGUGACAGAUAUAAGAGAGCCAGCACUGUGCAUAUAAUGAGCAAGGAAUAAAAUCAGAAAUGGGGCUGUGAGGAUCA
Molecule: long non-coding RNA, 1080 nt
Filed under: Mus spicilegus (steppe mouse)
Lineage: Eukaryota; Metazoa; Chordata; Mammalia; Rodentia; Muridae
Description: lncRNA (ENSMSIG00000025256.1)
Source: RNAcentral